RNAcentral lists this ribosomal RNA (495 nucleotides) under uncultured bacterium. RNAcentral's name for it is "partial 16S ribosomal RNA". It matches the Rfam family "Bacterial small subunit ribosomal RNA", at positions 28 to 507 of the family's 1533-position model. The record is from RNAcentral.
GAUGAACGCUGGCGGCGUGCCUAAUACAUGCAAGUAGAACGCUGAAGGAGGAGCUUGCUCUUCUGGAUGAGUUGCGAACGGGUGAGUAACGCGUAGGUAACCUGCCUGGUAGCGGGGGAUAACUAUUGGAAACGAUAGCUAAUACCGCAUGACAACAGUUAUUGCAUGAUAACUGUUAAAAAGGGGCAACUGCUCCACUACCAGAUGGACCUGCGUUGUAUUAGCUAGUUGGUGAGGUAACGGCUCACCAAGGCGACGAUACAUAGCCGACCUGAGAGGGUGAUAGGCCACACUGGGACUGAGACACGGCCCAGACUCCUACGGGAGGCAGCAGUAGGGAAUCUUCGGCAAUGGACGGAAGUCUGACCGAGCAACGCCGCGUGAGUGAAGAAGGUUUUCGGAUCGUAAAGCUCUGUUGUAAGAGAAGAACGAGUGUGAGAGUGGAAAGUUCACACUGUGACGGUAUCUUACCAGAAAGGGACGGCUAACUACGUG